AUCCAGCUGAAAAGUCCGGAAUAUGACGAAACAAGCGUCCUGGAU
This is a non-coding RNA of Schistosoma haematobium, 45 nucleotides long. The record is from Rfam. Lineage: Eukaryota; Metazoa; Platyhelminthes; Trematoda; Strigeidida; Schistosomatidae.